CUAUAAACGCUUUGUUUUUUGGUCUGGGUCGUGCUCGAAUCUUGGCUCCACAACUUCUUUCGAGUCCAUUAGUAAUGUUACAUACCCUUUUUUUUUUUGCCUCUCUCGCAUUAUCAUUGUACACCCCUUACACACACAUGUCAUCCCAAUCCCAUGUGUCUUGCAUACGCACAUCCAUAUAUUCUAAAUUCUCUUGAUCUUCCACAGCUUCAUGUGUAAUCUCAGCACUAACAGAUUCUUCAUCUUUUCCAAUAACAACUUCUAGCUCCUCUUGGUGAAAUAUUUAACGUGUAUAUCCUUCUAUGAAAACCCGUUGCUGGAAGAGGGAGGAGGAUGAUCUCGAUCUAGGAGAUCUUGCUGGAGGAGGGAGGAGGAGAUUUAGAUCUAGCUACGACAUCUUGGUGGGGGAGGUGGAUUUGGAGGAGACCGACGAGUGGGGCCGAGGUGCGCGAAGGGUUUGAGAAAGGGAGGCUCGCCCGUGGAUGGGAUCGAUGGUGCAUAUCAGCCGCACCUAGGGACCUCCA
Molecule: long non-coding RNA, 524 nt
Filed under: Brachypodium distachyon (stiff brome)
Lineage: Eukaryota; Viridiplantae; Streptophyta; Magnoliopsida; Poales; Poaceae
Description: long non-coding RNA (BDIS_LNC000774)
Source: RNAcentral